UAUAUUUUAGUGUACGAAGCACAGUAGAUUUUGAUUCUUUAAGAAACAGUUUAAUUCUGUUAAAUAUAA
Molecule: transfer RNA, 69 nt
Filed under: Anopheles parvus
Lineage: Eukaryota; Metazoa; Arthropoda; Insecta; Diptera; Culicidae
Description: tRNA-Gln
Rfam family: tRNA
About the family: Transfer RNA (tRNA) molecules are approximately 80 nucleotides in length. Their secondary structure includes four short double-helical elements and three loops (D, anti-codon, and T loops).
Source: RNAcentral